UGGCACCUCGAUGUCGGCUCGUCGCAUCCUGGGGCUGGAGAAGGUCCCAAGGGUCCGGCUGUUCGCCGGUUAAAGCGGCACGCGAGCUGGGUUCAGACCGUCGUGAGACAGGUCGGUCUCUAUCCGUGGUGGGCGUUCAGAGAUUUGAGGAGGUCUUUCCCUAGUACGAGAGGAUCGGGAAGGACAGACCAAUGGUGUAUCAGUUGUUCUGCCAAGGGCAUUGCUGAGUAGCCAAGUCUGGUUCGGAUAAGCACUGAAAGCAUCUAAGUGCGAAGCCGGCUCCAAGAUUAGAUCUCUCAUCCUUCUUUCGGGAAGGAGUAAGACCGCAAGAAGACUACUUGCUUGAUAGGCCACAGGUGUAAGCACGGUAACGUGUUCAGCUGAGUGGUACUAAUGGUCGAGGGCUUGACCUG
RNAcentral lists this ribosomal RNA (413 nucleotides) under Dehalococcoidales bacterium. RNAcentral describes it as "partial 23S ribosomal RNA". It matches the Rfam family "Bacterial large subunit ribosomal RNA", at positions 2519 to 2925 of the family's 2925-position model. Lineage: Bacteria; Bacillati; Chloroflexota; Dehalococcoidia; Dehalococcoidales. The record is from RNAcentral.